AUACCUACCUGGCAGGGGAGAUACGAUGAUCAUGAAGGUGGUAUUCCUAGGGCGAGGCUUAUCUGUUGCACUAUGGAUGUGCUGACUCCUGCAAUUUCCCCAAAUGUGAAAACUGCAACUGCAUAAUUUGUGGUAGUGGGGACCCAUGUUCAUGCUUUCCCC
Small nuclear RNA from Vulpes vulpes (red fox), 162 nucleotides. Its record names the gene U1. It matches the Rfam family "U1 spliceosomal RNA". From Rfam's summary of the family: U1 is a small nuclear RNA (snRNA) component of the spliceosome (involved in pre-mRNA splicing). Its 5' end forms complementary base pairs with the 5' splice junction, thus defining the 5' donor site of an intron. The record is from Ensembl. Lineage: Eukaryota; Metazoa; Chordata; Mammalia; Carnivora; Canidae.